This 293-nucleotide ribosomal RNA is filed under the name uncultured bacterium. RNAcentral's name for it is "partial 16S ribosomal RNA". It matches the Rfam family "Bacterial small subunit ribosomal RNA", at positions 775 to 1067 of the family's 1533-position model. The record is from RNAcentral.
GGAUUAGAUACCCUGGUAGUCCACACUGUAAACGCUGUCUACUAGCUGUGUGUGUAUUUAAUACGUGCGUAGCGCAGCUAACGCGAUAAGUAGACCGCCUGGGGAGUACGGCCGCAAGGUUAAAACUCAAAUGAAUUGACGGGGGCCCGCACAAGCGGUGGAGCAUGUGGUUUAAUUCGAUGCAACGCGAAGAACCUUACCUACACUUGACAUGCAGAGAACUUUCUAGAGAUAGAUUGGUGCCUUCGGGAACUCUGACACAGGUGCUGCAUGGCUGUCGUCAGCUCGUGCCG